RNAcentral lists this ribosomal RNA (460 nucleotides) under uncultured bacterium. RNAcentral's name for it is "partial 16S ribosomal RNA". It matches the Rfam family "Bacterial small subunit ribosomal RNA", at positions 338 to 795 of the family's 1533-position model. The record is from RNAcentral.
CCUACAGGCGGCAGCAGUGAGGAAUAUUGGUCAAUGGGCUAAGGCCUGAACCAGCCAAGUCGCGUGAGGGAAGACGGUCCUAUGGAUUGUAAACCUCUUUUGUCGGGGAGCAACGAGGCCACGUGUGGCCGAAGUGAGAGUACCCGAAGAAAAAGCAUCGGCUAACUCCGUGCCAGCAGCCGCGGUAAGACGGAGGAUGCGAGCGUUAUCCGGAUUUACUGGGUGGAAGGGGGGCGCAGGCGGCAUGGCAAGCCAGGAGUGAAAGCCCGGGGCCCAACCCCGGGACUGCUCUUGGAACUGGAUGGAGGGAGUACAGGAGGGGAAGGCGGAAUUCCGAGUGUAGCGGUGAAAUGCGUAGAUAUUAGGAGGAACACCGGUGGCGAAGGCGGCCUGCUGGACUGUGACUGACGUUGAGGCCCGAAGGCGUGGGGAGCAAACAGGAUUAGAUACCCUAGUAGUC